GGGAUUACAGACAGGCAAGAGCCACUGUGCCAGGCAUUCUUUACUAACUUUUAACUCUAGGAAUUUAUUUAAUUUCCCUGGGUGUCUGUCUUCUGGAUUUUUGUCUGUCAAAUGGAGACAAUACCCAUCUUAUAAGCAUUGCAUGUGGUAAUAGUGGUAAAGUACAUAGCACUUUACCUGGCAUGGAAUGUAAGUUCUAUAAAUGAUGUUUAAACUCUCUGCCACCCUACCCUCCAACAAAAUAAACAAAAAUGAUACACAUUUUGGUUAUGAAAGGAUGAGGCUGAAUUCAUAUGUCAUCCCUGAAAGCCUGCCUCAAGAUUUUAGAGUCUAUUCCUCCUGAGGCAAAGGCAGCAGAUGGAGGUGCUUACAGCCGGCAGUAUAUAGCUAUUUAAAUUCUGGCUCCAAGCAUCCGCUUUCCUUUUUCUGGAAAACUAUACUGAUGACCCCCAGGGGUCAUAAAGGAGCCCUUAGGAAUGCCGGAGUUGAGUUAACUGACUGGAAUGGGAUAAUGAACUUGUUUGCAGAAACCAGCCAGGCCUGACUUCCUUCUGCUUAUUCCAUUUGAGUCUAGCCCCAGUUAAUGGAUCCAAAUAGUUUUGGAUUUCAUUAAACAGAAUUAUCACUAACUGACAUUAUGCAGCUUUUAACCUUUUAUAAAAACUUCACAAAUAGGUCGCUUAUUCCUUAAUACAAUGUGGGAUGGGUUAAGAGUGCCCUUAACUCUUCCGGUCACCCUGAUGCUUCCUCCCUCCCUUCCAUUCACCCCCGUUUUCAGCAGAUGCUGUAGUGCCUGAAGGUAUGCUCAGAGCCCACUCAGAUGCCUGGAUCCACCCCACACCCCCAAGGAGCCCCCUUCUAAUGGAAGAGAAUCUCACACAAGGAAAUAGUUUUGAUGUGGACCCCUUGAGAGGCAGAGUAAUGCAGUGCAGGAGGUUCAGAGAUUUGGGGACAGCAAACCUCACUUCAAAUCCUGGCUCUCAUAUUUUCUAGCUAUGUAAACUCUGGCAAGUUUUGACUCUCUUGGAACCUUGGUUUUCUCGUUUCUAAUUUAAGGUUAAUAAUAAUAUCUGCUUUUUAGGGUCCUUAGGAGAAUUAAAUAAGAACAUGUUUGGAUGAACAGUGUCUGGUGUAUAAGUGCUCAAUAAAUAUUUGCUUUUUAAAAACUUUAUAAUAGAAGUUCAAACAAACCUUUUGGGAGCCCAGCAAGAUAAGCAACAAAUACCUUCAGGGGAGGUGAGGAAAGUCACUACAUCUGCCUGGAAGCAAAAUUCUUUGAACUGGUCUUUUUCCAUCCACGAGCACAUGACCAAGGAAAGGAAGCUAUAUUUUUCUUGACUGGGAAUUUGAAUUUGCAGUUGUACAUUCCAAGGGCCUUGGAAGUUCUUUCCAGUUUGGGAAAAGGAGCAGCCAAGGGCACGCAUGGAAACACUUACUAAUUGUGUGACCUUAGGCAAGUGCCCCUAACCUCACCAAAGAUAAAAUUCUCCUAUCAGUAAAAUGGGGAUCAUAAAAUGGAGAUAAUAAUUCUGGCUACCUGCUAUGAUUGCUGUGGGAUUAGGGAAGAUGAUACACGUGAUACAUUAGCAGAGUGCCUGGUGCCUAGUAGGUGCCCCUUAAAAUUUAGCUAUGACUAUUCUCUUUAGCCGACACACAGGACUGCCUUGAAUGUUCACAUUUCCAGAGAAAGGUGCUUGGGAAGAUUUCUGAGUGUUCUGCCUGCCAGGUCGUUGCUCACUUCAAGCAGUCAGUUUACAGUUCAAAGAAUCCCUUUGUUCAAAGCCUGAGCAAAUCCAGGCCUCGUGUAUCUGCAGCAAUGAAAAAAGGGAGCUUUCUGCCUGAUCUUCACCCCAAAGGCAGAUUCUCCCUUUUUAAAUGCCUGCACACAUGUUAUUUAUUUAUUUUUGGUUAACGUUUAAAUUGAGGUUUUGGCUGAAACUUAGCCUGUGCGCACUUGAAAAGUCAACAGGCUCAUUGGGCAGCCGAUAAAGCUCUUGGGAUUUCCCCGCGGGGCUGCGGAGAGUACAGACAGGAAGCCUGGGGACCCAGCGCCUGACCAGAGCUUCCUCGGGGGAGGAUGCAGGGGAGCAGGCGCAUCCUGCACAGAACACUCUAGAGCGCGCAGGCCAAAUCAGCAGCCUGCUCCCGACACGUGCUGCAAGAGGGUGCCCUACCCGGAGGACCGGACCCUGUGGGCAUGAAGGGGGAGGUGGAAGCUUCCCCCUCAGCCCUCCCCCCUGGAGAGAGGCUGACACUGCCAGGCUGGAACCUUCCAUUCUGGCCCAGCCUCUUCCUCCCUCGCUGUGCCGAGGGAUCUAGAAGGGACUUUCCAGAGAGGGUUAGCGUGCAGGGUGUGGAAAUGGAAUAAAAGCAUAUGCAAAUAGGCCUUAGCUGCCUUCCUCUACCCUAGCGAAUAAGAGUCUUUCUCCAGAAAGAUGCUCUUUCUCCAAGACGCUUGACCGCUUUUCCUUCCCUGGAUGGCAGCAGCAGGGCCGAUUGGAGUGGUAAACCCUGGGGCGGAAGCCAUGCCAAAGGGGUGGGCAGGAUGGACAGGAGACAGUAGCACCAUGAGGAGGGGGAGAGCAGCAGCUGACUUGGAAAUGAUGAAAUAAAAUGAAAUGUUAAGAGCUCGCUGCGUUGUAACGAUAGAGGACACAUCCAGAUCAAAUAAGACAUUUUGAGCUUCCAAAGAGUUUAUUCCCUGGAGAUUGGAAGGAGAGGAUUGUUUUCACAGAGGUAAGCAUCUAAGGCUGUGGAGUGGGGAGGGAAUUGGAGAAGCUCUUUGGGAGGUGGUGACCUUUACGGAGGGAGACCCAGGGACUGGUACCUGAGUAACUACAAAGGGAAUGGACCUCAGACAUAGGCAGGGCUCAUUCACAUAGAGACAGAAUGUCAAGACCAUAGAAACAGGGAUAUGGAACUUAGAAUAUUCUCUCCAACCCCAGAUAGAAAACAGUUACCAAGUUUGAAAUGUAUAGGUUGGAAGACCUGAGAGAAAUGUAUUGCCUUUUUCUGCUUAGUGAAUCUAGCUAUCAGUUUCUGCGACUUUAAGCAUGUUUUGCGCUAGGCAUCUGACUCCCAGCCGACUGGGCCCCAGAGCCUAGAGGUGCCUAGCACAAGGUGCAUGGGCAAUUAUUUGUUUGGCUAUUUGUGUUUAGUAGCAUUUCUUUUCACCUUGCAGGAACUCACCUCUGGGUUAAAAGGGGAAUUUGUUUUAUGGAAAGGGUUAGAAAAGUUCAAUACUGGAAGAUCAUCUUAUAGCUUCUUCUUGGCAAAAAUUUGUUGACCCAAAAGUGUUUCCAGGGUUGCUGCAGCCUUCCUCCUAAGGCAGUGCAGAGAUCUAAAUGAGAUAAUUAUGCAGACUAUUUAAAAAUUUAAAAAAGUACCACAUUAGGUACUACAUAAUUUUUUUUAUAGCUAGCAUAUAAAGCAAUUUGGAUGUAUUUCCUUUAUACCUUUUGAGAAUGAACUGAAAGACCAGGAUUAAUUUAGCUUUGAAUGGAUAUCAGAUUUGUAAACUUAUAUUAGGUAGGUCUUUCUUAAAGUCUCUCCUAUUGAAAACCAAUUCCUUUAUUCUAACUCUGUACAGCAAGAGCAAAGUACCACACUAGUAUUUUUCGGGUGAGAGCUGGCAAAGUCAUAUUUACAACAACUUUUGUGUUCCUUCAUAAUUUUCCCUCAUAUGGCGGGAAAAA
Molecule: long non-coding RNA, 3695 nt
Organism: Sapajus apella (tufted capuchin)
Lineage: Eukaryota; Metazoa; Chordata; Mammalia; Primates; Cebidae
Exons: 2
Source: RefSeq, a predicted model, not a curated record